This 77-nucleotide transfer RNA is filed under the name Pedobacter sp. Its description in RNAcentral is "tRNA-Met". It matches the Rfam family "tRNA". Rfam says of the family: Transfer RNA (tRNA) molecules are approximately 80 nucleotides in length. Their secondary structure includes four short double-helical elements and three loops (D, anti-codon, and T loops). The record is from RNAcentral. Lineage: Bacteria; Pseudomonadati; Bacteroidota; Sphingobacteriia; Sphingobacteriales; Sphingobacteriaceae.
GGCUCUGUAGCUCAGAUGGUUAGAGUGGGAGACUCAUAAAUUCCAGGUCGUAGGUUCAAUUCCAACCAGAGCCAUCA